Molecule: ribosomal RNA, 445 nt
Filed under: uncultured soil bacterium
Lineage: Bacteria
Description: bacterial SSU rRNA
Rfam family: Bacterial small subunit ribosomal RNA
Source: RNAcentral
AGAACGAACGCUGGCGGCAUGCCUAAUACAUGCAAGUCGAACGAACUCUUCGGAGUUAGUGGCGCACGGGUGCGUAACGCGUGGGAAUCUGCCCCUUGGUUCGGAAUAACAGUUGGAAACGACUGCUAAUACCGGAUGAUGACGAAAGUCCAAAGAUUUAUCGCCAAGGGAUGAGCCCGCGUAGGAUUAGCUAGUUGGUGAGGUAAAGGCUCACCAAGGCAACGAUCCUUAGCUGGUCUGAGAGGAUGAUCAGCCACACUGGGACUGAGACACGGCCCAGACUCCUACGGGAGGCAGCAGUAGGGAAUAUUGGACAAUGGGCGAAAGCCUGAUCCAGCAAUGCCGCGUGAGUGAUGAAGGCUUAGGGUUGUAAAGCUCUUUACCCGAGAUGAUAAUGACAGUAUCGGAAGAAUAAGCCCGACUAACCUCCGUGCCAGCCAGCCCG